CGAUAACGGCGUCGAGCGGCGGACGGGUGAGUAAUGCCUAGGAAAUUGCCCUGRUGUGGGGGAUAACCAUUGGAAACGAUGGCUAAUACCGCAUAAUACCUACGGGUCAAAGAGGGGGACCUUCGGGCCUCUCGCGUCAGGAUAUGCCUAGGUGGGAUUAGCUAGUUGGUGAGGUAAUGGCUCACCAAGGCGACGAUCCCUAGCUGGUCUGAGAGGAUGAUCAGCCACACUGGAACUGAGACACGGUCCAGACUCCUACGGGAGGCAGCAGUGGGGAAUAUUGCACAAUGGGCGCAAGCCUGAUGCAGCCAUGCCGCGUGUGUGAAGAAGGCCUUCGGGUUGUAAAGCACUUUCAGUCGUGAGGAAGGUAGUGUAGUUAAUAGCUGCAUUAUUUGACGUUAGCGACAGAAGAAGCACCGGCUAACUCCGUGCCAGCAGCCGCGGUAAUACGGAGGGUGCGAGCGUUAAUCGGAAUUACUGGGCGUAAAGCGCAUGCAGGUGGUUUGUUAAGUCAGAUGUGAAAGCCCGGGGCUCAACCUCGGAAUAGCAUUUGAAACUGGCAGACUAGAGUACUGUAGAGGGGGGUAGAAUUUCAGGUGUAGCGGUGAAAUGCGUAGAGAUCUGAAGGAAUACCGGUGGCGAAGGCGGCCCCCUGGACAGAUACUGACACUCAGAUGCGAAAGCGUGGGGAGCAAACAGGAUUAGAUACCCUGGUAGUCCACGCCGUAAACGAUGUCUACUUGGAGGUUGUGGCCUUGAGCCGUGGCUUUCGGAGCUAACGCGUUAAGUAGACCGCCUGGGGAGUACGGUCGCAAGAUUAAAACUCAAAUGAAUUGACGGGGGCCCGCACAAGCGGUGGAGCAUGUGGUUUAAUUCGAUGCAACGCGAAGAAUCCUUACCUACUCUUGACAUCCAGAGAA
Molecule: ribosomal RNA, 920 nt
Filed under: Vibrio harveyi
Lineage: Bacteria; Pseudomonadati; Pseudomonadota; Gammaproteobacteria; Vibrionales; Vibrionaceae
Description: bacterial SSU rRNA
Source: RNAcentral